This 259-nucleotide ribosomal RNA is filed under the name uncultured bacterium. Its description in RNAcentral is "partial 16S ribosomal RNA". It matches the Rfam family "Bacterial small subunit ribosomal RNA", at positions 524 to 777 of the family's 1533-position model. The record is from RNAcentral.
UACGGAGGGGGGCUAGCGUUAUUCGGAAUUAUUGGGCGUAAAGGGCGUGUAGGCGGCUUCGUAAGUCUCAUUGUGAAAGCCCUCGGCUCAACCGAGGAACUGCAUGGGAAACUGCGGAGCUUGAGUCCGGGAGAGGAGAGCGGAAUUCCCAGUGUAGCGGUGAAAAUGCGUAGAUAUUGGGAGGAACACCGGUGGCGAAGGCGGCUCUCUGGACCGGUACUGACGCUGAGACGCGAAAAGCUAGGGGGAGCAAACGGGG